Non-coding RNA from Acanthosepion pharaonis, 107 nucleotides. The record is from the annotation of a GenBank genome assembly. NCBI's taxonomy places the organism in Eukaryota, Metazoa, Mollusca, Cephalopoda, Sepiida, Sepiidae.
AUGGCCACAUCAUAUUGAAACACCAGUUCCCAUACAAUCCUCAAAGUUAAGCAACAUUGGACUUUGUCAGUACUUAGAUGGGUGACUGCUUAGGAAUACAUGGUGCU